UAGGGAAUCUUCGGCAAUGGGGGGAACCCUGACCGAGCAACGCCGCGUGAGUGAAGAAGGUUUUCGGAUCGUAAAGCUCUGUUGUUAAGGAAGAACGAGUGUGAGAAUGGAAAGUUCAUACUGUGACGGUACUUAACCAGAAAGGGACGGCUAACUACGUGCCAGCAGCCGCGGUAAUACGUAGGUCCCGAGCGUUGUCCGGAUUUAUUGGGCGUAAAGCGAGCGCAGGCGGUUAGAUAAGUCUGAAGUUAAAGGCAGUGGCUCAACCAUUGUAGGCUUUGGAAACUGUUUAACUUGAGUGCAGAAGGGGAGAGUGGAAUUCCAUGUGUAGCGGUGAAAUGCGUAGAUAUAUGGAGGAACACCGGUGGCGAAAGCGGCUCUCUGGUCUGUAACUGACGCUGAGGCUCGAAAACGUGGGGAGCGAACAGG
RNAcentral lists this ribosomal RNA (429 nucleotides) under Bacteroidota bacterium. RNAcentral describes it as "Bacteroidetes bacterium partial 16S ribosomal RNA". It matches the Rfam family "Bacterial small subunit ribosomal RNA", at positions 355 to 776 of the family's 1533-position model. The record is from RNAcentral. Lineage: Bacteria; Pseudomonadati; Bacteroidota.